This 287-nucleotide long non-coding RNA is filed under the name Homo sapiens (human). Its description in RNAcentral is "non-protein coding lnc-TMEM108-6:1". Lineage: Eukaryota; Metazoa; Chordata; Mammalia; Primates; Hominidae. The record is from RNAcentral.
GUGUGUGUGGUGUGUGCAUGUGUGGUGUGUGUAUGGUGUGGGGGUGUGUGUGUGUGGUGUGUGGUGUGUGUGGUGUGGUGUGGUGUGUGUGUAGUGUGUGGUGUGUGUUGUGUGUGUGGUGUGUGAUGUGUGUGUGUGGUGUGUGUGUAGUGUGUGGUGUGUGUGUGAUGUGUGUGUAGUGUGUGGCAUGUGUGUAGUGUGUGGUGUGUGUUUGUGUGCUGUGUGUGUGUGCUAUGUGUGUGGUGUGUGUGUGUGGUGUGUGUAGUGUGUGUGUGUGCAUGUGUGUG